CACACACACAUGCGUGUAUAACAUUCUGGAUAAGCACCAAUUUUUAGGAAUGUAUCACUUCAAGUGAAACCUCUUUCUUGCAUGUGUGUGACAUAUGCAUGUGUGUGCAUGGGUCUGUGGGUGCAUGUGUCCAUGAGUGCAUCUACGGAUGUCACGGAAUCCAGUUGCAUAUACUGUUCUGUGGAACCCAGACACUCAGUUAUGUCUUCCAGUCCACCUGUGUCUUUAGAUCCACAGCAGGGAUGAGUAGGAGAGGAAGAAGGUUCACGCUACGUCUGGUAAGCAAAUGAUAUCACAGACGCUCAGUGUGGUGAACUCCCACGUCAGGCUCAUUUCUGUAGUCACGGCAGGAAAGAAGAAAUGGAGAUCAGCCUGGCACUGUGGCUUUCUAGGGCUGCAGCCGCUAGCAGUGUGCAUGAGAGAUUCAUGCAGCUCUCAGACCUCAUCAGAGAAGUAUCUUCGUGCAGUAGAUGGUGGCUAACACAGAAACUCACAACCACAGGGCAGAGAAUAAAUAUCACUGGACGGCUCAGCAAAUGGGACAUCUGUAUCAUUCCGCAUCCCCAAGGCUCAGGAAUCAUCAUGGAAGAUGGGGUGACGACUGUAAGAGCCAGAGGUCAGGGAGGACCCGGGUGAGAGUUCUUCUGGACAUGACUGGAGCUGCACUCGGGAACUCACAGCCACUGUGGUCACAAGACCAGGCCAGCCGGCAUCCCAGCACAAGGAGGGGGGAAGCUGAUGCCUUCUGGAGGAGAAAGAAUUCGUUUUCUUUAGGUGCACAGCCCCUAGUCGGCUAGUCAAGCACGCUCCAGUGACUAGUCCCACACUCGGGAGUAAGUGUGUUUAAAAGGGGGGGGGGGGUGCAAGGAAAUAAACAAAAUCAAGGGCAUGAAUUGGGGAGAGGGUGAGGACAGCGGUGGAUCUCAGAGGAGUUAGGGUAGACAAUGGGGGUGGACAUAAUCAAAAUACAUUGUAAGCAUGUAUGAGAAUCUCAGGAAAUUAAUUAAAAUACUAUGUUUAAGAAUACUUUACCUCAUGAAUUUUAGGAAGCCACAGUAAUGUGGUAUUUUAGGGGGUUGCUUUCUUGGAGUUUUUCUGAGGGGAUGAACAGUGACUCCUGUGGCUUGGGCUGGCUGCCAACUCACUAGGUACCCCAGGAUGACCUUGAAUUUUGAGCCUCUUGCUUCUACCUCCUGAGUGCUGGGAUGACAGGCGUGCACCCCCACAUUUGGUUUUGUACAGUUCUGGGAUUUGAACCUUUGGCUUUAUGUGUGUGCCAGGCAAUCAGUCUACCAACUGGGCCCCAUCUCUAGGUCCUAUUUUUGUUUGUUUGUUUGUUUUUGUAUCUCUUGGUGAAAUUUUGUGCUUUGGUAGAAGAUAACAUGCUCUUUAGAAAAGGGCAGACUGCAACCACUGGGCAAUAUGUUGCCACCACUUAUGUGUAAAUAAAGCUUUAUUAGCACACAA
Peromyscus californicus insignis is the source of this 1467-nucleotide long non-coding RNA. RefSeq lists it as uncharacterized. NCBI's taxonomy places the organism in Eukaryota, Metazoa, Chordata, Mammalia, Rodentia, Cricetidae. The transcript has 2 exons. The record is from RefSeq and is a predicted model, not a curated record.